Long non-coding RNA from Vigna unguiculata (cowpea), 3653 nucleotides. The record is from RefSeq and is a predicted model, not a curated record. NCBI's taxonomy places the organism in Eukaryota, Viridiplantae, Streptophyta, Magnoliopsida, Fabales, Fabaceae.
ACCCUUAUUUAAAGUCUUUGAGUUCAGCCUCUUUUAGCCGUCUCUCAGAACAGAGUUGUAAUUCUCUGAUUUCGAAUGUGUAACAUUUUCUAUUUCUCUUCGUUUUCUACUUCCGCAAUGCAUUGCUAUGAUUCCGAUUAUGCCAUAAAUUUUCUGUGUUGAAUCCCUCUAUAGCAUUGUUUGAUUCCAAAGGAAUUCGAUUGGAUUGUGCAUUUUUAGUUUUUUUAAGUUGUUUUUUCCAUUGUUGAUCCACUGCAUCUGUUUUACCCUCUCCUUUUUGUAUCCAAUUCCAAUGGCGAUGGAGAUAUAACUGAUGCACAGAUUUUAAAGGUUGGCUUACCAGCCCAUUGCACAUAUUUUGAAAUUGCCAUGGGUCAAAUGGACCUACCGAAAUGCCCUAGAUGAAAACAAAACACGAUUUUUUUAUGCAUUUAUGUGUUUUUUGUAUCUGCAAAAAGAGAUUUGGCAGUGACGAUUCAAAUUUUAAACCGCUUAUUGAUAUACUGAUAAGCUGUGAUGACAACAUUUUUUAAAUCUGAUGCCAUUAAGCUUGUAUUUUAGAUUUUCGUUUUGUUUUUGUAGCGUCUCUUUCCCUGAUUUUUCAGUGAAUCUAAUAUUGUGACCAAGGGUUGGCAAGUGAUGCUAAAAUUUCUUAUCCUACACACUGAAUUACUCUGUGAAGAUCAAAAACUCCGCUUAUUAUCUGAUGCCUUCCUUGUCAUAGACGGGCGGACUGAACUGAUGCCAUGUUGAUUGUCUGCCACUUCCACAUUUGGAAUUUCUCUGAGAUUAAGUUUCGUGUUGUUUUUAUUUUAAUUCAUUAUGCGAUUGAUUGUGUUGUUUAAUGUUUUUAUUAUUAUUUUUUGCUGGGAAUUAGUGUUUGAUUUUGUUAAAGAACAAUCUUUCUGCUAUGAUGAGGUUGCAUAAAUAUGUCUGGACAUAUGAGAAUUCUGUGAUAUAAUAAUUGCUUCUUCUGAGCAGAGGUAUUAGCCAUGAAGUCUGGAUUUCAAAAUAGAUUAGAUCCCUAAUUUUUCAUCUCUGGUUUUCAAAAUAGAUUAAAACCCUAAUUUUUCAGGCGUAAUAGGAACUUAUUUUUUCAUUUAUAUGUUCAAUAUGAAUAAGCCAAUUGGUGAAAUAAAUGCAUACACUUAAAAAUUUGGUAGUUUUUAAAUUUUGACCUACUUCACAAUCAUACCUCCCACUUUUGAACAUUUAGAACAAAAACUUAUAUCUACCUCAUCUCGAUUUGAAAGUUGUCGAAAUGUCUUGGCUCAUGAAAGAUUAAAUAAUGUAAUUAUGGCAAUAUAACUUAUUUUGUUUUUAUCAAGCUCAUUUUGAUUUAGUUGACCUAAUUGAAUCAUAAAUUUACUUUACCUAUAAAAUAACCAUUUUAAUUUAAAAUUACAAAUAUUUUACGAAAUAUAUAACGUUAUGAUUUAUAUUUAUAUAUGCAAGAUUCGUCUUGUCGUGAAUAUUUAUUUUAAAGGUUAAAAUACUUCGAUGAUCUUCGUUUUGGUUCAAAAAUCUUAAAUUGGUUCUCGAAUUUUAAUUGAUUUCAAUUUCGUCCUCAUUUUUGUAAAUGUGUUUUAAAUUACCCUUUUCCGUUAUCAGUUCACAGAUGACGUUUAUUCCUGAUGAUGUGGCUGUUUUGUGUAUUCUGAUGUGUCAUUCACUUGAUUUGGCACAUAUGUUCUUAGUUUCUCUUUUAAAAAGAGAUUAUUUUCAUAACAUUUGAAUGUUAGGGUUUGAAAAGGGUGAGGUGAAGCUGUCUCUUGCGUUCUCAAUUGGUAAGAUUGGUAAUGUCUCUCUCUCAUUCUUGCUCAUCCUGCACUUGCAAUGCUUGGGAGAUGAAAAAUUCCAGUUUUUCUUCUCAUGGAGGUGCAGUGAGAAGGUCCGAUUUAACACCUGUUUGUUAUUGCGGUGAGAAGGCAAUCACAAGAACUGCUAGAACGGCUAAGAACAGGGGGAGAAAAUUUUGGGGGGACAAGCAACAUUUAAUCACAAAAUAAAAGCCAUACAACAUCAUUCCCAACCAACAAAACCCUAAAUAGCCAAGGAUGAACUGAUACUCACCUUCACGGUGUGGCGCUCAAGAACGACUACGAUCAACGACACUAAAGCUCGAAAAUCGAAUACUGAAAUGUUCGAGCUCACCUUCGACGACGCUGAAUCUCACCUUCGUCGACGUUCACGGCAUUGACUCGAGUCGCCCUCGCAGUCACGAUUCUUCAACACUCAGUUUCAAUCCUAAUUCAGUAAUUUAGGGUUUCCAUACAAAUGCUUAUUUUAAUGAAUAACGCCACGUACAAAUUUUUCAAUCCUCAAAUUAAUGAAUCAAGCCACGUCAGAUAAUUAAAAUGAAGUUAACGUUAACCAUUUUGACACUGUUAACGAUUGGGUUAAUUUAAAACACAUUUAUCAAAAUGAGGACAAAAUUGAAAUCAAUUAAAAUUCGAAAACGAGGACUAUCGGAGUAUUUUAACCUUAUUUUAAAACACCAAUACAUCGUGAUGAUGACUAAUUAUGCAAUUAAAUGACAUUCUCAUCUGAUAAAAGAAUUAGAAAGGGUUAUAAUAUAGAUGAUGUCUUAUGUUUUGCACAUAAUGUCAAUUUAAAAAAAUGUAUACAUUAAAAGCAAUUUUUAUUUUUUAGCAGUGAUACAACUUCUAUCAUUCUCAAUAAUCUUUUACAUAUAACAUAAUUCACUAAAACAAAAUUUCAAAUCUAUUAUAAAUUUCACUUGAUAUUUUUUUUACAUUUAUAAUUAGCAUUCAAAUACAAUCCAUUAAAAAGGCAAGAAGAGAAAAAACAGAAAUCUAAAGAGUGAAAAUAUUUUGGCUUCAACAAAAAUAUGUUCACUUAAAUAAAAUUGAGUGAAAAUAUACUAACUCUCGGUGUUAAGUUUGGGUGAGCAAAAAUCCUUUCUUUCAACGAAAAUAUGUUGUUUUUUAUAAUGUCCCGGGAUUCUGUGUUUAGUAUAAAUGUAAGUGAAGCCUAAAACUCUUGUAAAUCAAUUAAUCUAACUAUUUUGAGUAUUAGCAUAAUUGUUUAGGACAACUUUGAAGCAUGGAAAGAUUUUUCAUAAUCCAAUAAUUGAUCAGCUUACUUUUUUUAAUUGAUUAAGUUAUUCACUAGAGCCAUUGGAUGUAAAAUAUGAACUCGAUAAUUGAUUAGAUUAUUUUUCUAAGCAAUUAAUCUUAGUAGUAUUUCCUUUUUAAGCCAACAUUGAUUCAUAUUUUGAAAGAUGAUAUUUUUGCAAUCAGAGGCAAUUGAGUAUUGAGAUAGAAGAGUUCUUAUGUUCUUGGAGAUCACAGUAUUGGGUUUUUAAAAAUUCGUCAAGAAAUUUUUAAGAUGAAUAUGAUUUUGAGAGCUUUGACUUGGCACUAGGGAUUAAUUGUAAUUCCUGCACAUAAAGGUGUAUUUGUUCCUUCUAUUUUUUUGCAAAUUUCAUUUUUUUGUAUUACUUUCAUUGUGUAGGUGAAUAAUUGAUUGCAAUUGUGUAAGUGGGGAUAGUUCUUGACAAGUAUAUCGAGUUCUUGGUUCAUUAGAGUAUAAAAUUAUUUAAAUGUGCUUGUAAUUAACUCUUUGAAAUAAUGGAAAUCUUCUAAGCUGAGGUUGCUUAGAAGAAAACUCGAUGUAGAUUUUAAUUUGAA